AACGAACGCUGGCGGCGUGCCUAACACAUGCAAGUCGAGCGAGAAAGUUCCCUUCGGGGAGCGAGUAAAGCGGCGAACGGGUGAGUAACACGUAGGUAACCUACCCUCGAGUCCGGGAUAACCGGUCGAAAGACUGGCUAAUACUGGAUACGACUGCGAGAGCGUCGGCUCUUGCGGUGAAAGGUGGCCUCUGCUUGCAAGCUAUCACUCAUGGAUGGGCCUGCGGACCAUUAGCUAGUUGGUGAGGUAACGGCUCACCAAGGCAAAGAUGGUUAGCUGGUCUGAGAGGACGGCCAGCCACACUGGGACUGAAACACGGCCCAGACUCCUACGGGAGGCAG
RNAcentral lists this ribosomal RNA (341 nucleotides) under uncultured Pseudomonadota bacterium. Its description in RNAcentral is "bacterial SSU rRNA". It matches the Rfam family "Bacterial small subunit ribosomal RNA", at positions 29 to 351 of the family's 1533-position model. The record is from RNAcentral. Lineage: Bacteria; Pseudomonadati; Pseudomonadota.